Ictidomys tridecemlineatus (thirteen-lined ground squirrel) is the source of this 69-nucleotide non-coding RNA. Lineage: Eukaryota; Metazoa; Chordata; Mammalia; Rodentia; Sciuridae. The record is from Rfam.
GGGGUUGUGGCUCAGUGGCAGAGCACUUGCCUAGCAUGUGUGAGGCACUGGGUUCAAUUCUCAGCACCA